This 380-nucleotide ribosomal RNA is filed under the name uncultured Oomycota. RNAcentral's name for it is "eukaryotic LSU rRNA". Lineage: Eukaryota; Oomycota. The record is from RNAcentral.
UUUGAAAGAGAGUUAAAGAGUACCUGAAACUGCUGAAAGGGAACCGAAUCGUAUCCAGUGUCUAUAAUCCAUGGCAUAUUUCAUUGGCGAGUGAGUGCGUGCAGCGUUUUGGAAGUGGUUUUCCGCUCCUGUCGUUGUUGUGCGUUUGCUUGCUGGUGCCCUGUGCUGUGGUGGGACGUCAGAGUCAGUUUGUGUGCUGCGGGAAAUGGUUAUUGGGGAGGUAGGUCGCUUCGGUGGCUAUUAUAUCCUGGUAACUAGUCGUCGUGGCUGAGACUGAGGUGCCUACAAUGUGCUUUCGAGUGUGCGGAUUUCUCGUGUGGCUGUUUGCUUUGAUAGCUUGCUAUGUUGGUGAAUAAGUUGUGCGAUUGAGACCUGGAUUA